UUUUCUGAUGACACUUUAUUUUUUGCUCGAAGACGCAAGUCACUGUGGGCAGAUUUCUCAUAGACUACAACGGUAUCUGACA
This is a small nucleolar RNA of 82 nucleotides. It matches the Rfam family "Small nucleolar RNA snR79".